AGGCUUGUAGCCUAGCUUGGAUAAGGCGUUAGACUCCUAAUCUAAAGACCGCGGGUUCAAAUCCCGCCAAGCCUG
This is a transfer RNA of Methanobrevibacter ruminantium M1, 75 nucleotides long. It matches the Rfam family "tRNA". Rfam says of the family: Transfer RNA (tRNA) molecules are approximately 80 nucleotides in length. Their secondary structure includes four short double-helical elements and three loops (D, anti-codon, and T loops). Further hydrogen bonds mediate the characteristic L-shaped molecular structure. tRNAs have two regions of fundamental functional importance: the anti-codon, which is responsible for specific mRNA codon recognition, and the 3' end, to which the tRNAs corresponding amino acid is attached (by aminoacyl-tRNA synthetases). tRNAs cope with the degeneracy of the genetic code in two manners: having more than one tRNA (with a specific anti-codon) for a particular amino acid; and 'wobble' base-pairing, i.e. permitting non-standard base-pairing at the 3rd anti-codon position. Lineage: Archaea; Methanobacteriati; Methanobacteriota; Methanobacteria; Methanobacteriales; Methanobacteriaceae. The record is from Rfam.